RNAcentral lists this ribosomal RNA (1001 nucleotides) under uncultured bacterium. Its description in RNAcentral is "bacterial SSU rRNA". It matches the Rfam family "Bacterial small subunit ribosomal RNA", at positions 355 to 1375 of the family's 1533-position model. The record is from RNAcentral.
UGGGGAAUAUUGGGCAAUGGGCGAAAGCCUGACCCAGCAACGCCGCGUGAAGGAAGAAGGCCUUCGGGUUGUAAACUUCUUUUAAGAGGGACGAAGAAGUGACGGUACCUCUUGAAUAAGCCACGGCUAACUACGUGCCAGCAGCCGCGGUAAUACGUAGGUGGCGAGCGUUAUCUGGAUUUACUGGGUGUAAAGGGCGCGUAGGCGGGAAUGCAAGUCAGAUGUGAAAUCCAGGGGCUUAACCCUUGAACUGCAUUUGAAACUGUAUUUCUUGAGUGUCGGAGAGGUUGACGGAAUUCCUAGUGUAGCGGUGAAAUGCGUAGAUAUUAGGAGGAACACCAGUGGCGAAGGCGGUCAACUGGACGAUAACUGACGCUGAGGCGCGAAAGCGUGGGGAGCAAACAGGAUUAGAUACCCUGGUAGUCCAUGCCGUAAACGAUGAUUACUAGGUGUUGGGGGAUUGACCCCCUCCGUGCCGCAGUUAACACAAUAAGUAUUCCACCUGGGGAGUACGACCGCAAGGUUGAAACUCAAAGGAAUUGACGGGGGCCCGCACAAGCAGUGGAUUAUGUGGUUUAAUUCGAAGCAACGCGAAGAACCUUACCAGGGCUUGACAUCCAACUAACGAAGCAGAGAUGCAUUAGGUGCCCUUCGGGGGAAGUUGAGACAGGUGGUGCAUGGUUGUCGUCAGCUCGUGUCGUGGGAUGUUGGGUUAAGUCCCGCAACGAGCGCAACCCCUAUUGUUAGUUGCUACGCAAGAGCACUCUAGCGAGACUGCCGUUGACAAAACGGAGGAAGGUGGGGACGACGUCAAAUCAUCAUGCCCCUUAUGUCCUGGGCUACACACGUAAUACAAUGGCAUUUAACAGAGGGAAGCAAAGCCGCGAGGUGGAGCAAAUCCCUAAAAGGUGUCUCAGUUCGGAUUGCAGGCUGCAACUCGCCUGCAUGAAGUCGGAAUUGCUAGUAAUCGCGGAUCAGCAUGCCGCGGUGAAUACGUUCCC